RNAcentral lists this ribosomal RNA (468 nucleotides) under uncultured bacterium. RNAcentral's name for it is "partial 16S ribosomal RNA". It matches the Rfam family "Bacterial small subunit ribosomal RNA", at positions 28 to 507 of the family's 1533-position model. The record is from RNAcentral.
GACGAACGCUGGCGGCGUGCUUAACACAUGCAAGUCGAACGGAAGGGCCCUGCUUUUGUGGGGUGCUCGAGUGGCGAACGGGUGAGUAACACGUGAGUAACCUGCCCUUGACUUUGGGAUAACUUCAGGAAACUGGGGCUAAUACCGGAUAGGAGCUCCUGCUGCAUGGUGGGGGUUGGAAAGUUUCGGCGGUUGGGGAUGGACCCGCGGCUUAUCAGCUUGUUGGUGGGGUAGUGGCUUACCAAGGCUUUGACAGGUAGCCGGCCUGAGAGGGUGACCGGCCACAUUGGGACUGAGAUACGGCCCAGACUCCUACGGGAGGCAGCAGUGGGGAAUAUUGCACAAUGGGCGGAAGCCUGAUGCAGCAACGCCGCGUGCGGGAUGACGGCCUUCGGGUUGUAAACCGCUUUCGCCUGUGACGAAGCGUGAGUGACGGUAAUGGGUAAAGAAGCACCGGCUAACUACGUG